Molecule: long non-coding RNA, 2997 nt
Organism: Triticum aestivum (bread wheat)
Lineage: Eukaryota; Viridiplantae; Streptophyta; Magnoliopsida; Poales; Poaceae
Exons: 3
Source: RefSeq, a predicted model, not a curated record
UUCAUACUCUCCAUCUCUCUGUACACUAUAAAUAGGUGUUCUUUCUUCCUGUACUUCGUCUACUUUCUGUGGUUCGUUUCUUUCUUCUUGUUUAUACUAGCUCCAUGGUUUGUUCUUCCUGCUGUUGUAAUGGGCCACGGCGUCGGCCUCCUCGGCUGCGUGGAGCUGUCGUUGGUCGUCGUCCUCCUGCUCCACCCGGUGUUGGCACUGCAGCAGCGAGCACGAGGCCAUGCAGUGAUUCACGCAGCGCGCGGUGGCGGUGUAGGUGUCUCGCACUUCUACUCCUGGCGGUGGGCAUCGGCACAACUCUCGUGUGAUCGCGGUUGUGCGCGGCUAGCUAGGCCAAGCUCACAGCGCGAUGGCAGGUUGCGCGUGCGCGCGGUGACCAUGAGUGGCAACGUGCGGUGUGGAUGCAACAUGUAGCAGCGGGCAGUACUGGCAGCGGGGAUGUUUCCAACCUCUCAUGUCCCUCUUCUGAUGUGGAGAAUGGCGGCUUGGCACGGGACGCGACAAUGCGGCCACCAGCACCCUGCAUCCUCCACCGGUGUCUCAUGUACGUGCCCCUAGCCCCCUUCCUCCUACUAUCUUCACUGCCUCUGCUGCAGUCGAUGGAUGUCCACAUGCCAGACAACGGGCGCAGCAGCGACCAUGGUGGAGCUCAAGUGCUCAACGUGGAGGAGCUCGCCAUGGGCUAAGCAUCGUUCUGGGCGCAGCUGACUGCUCCGACGCAGGCCAAGUGUUCGGCGUAAUGUCUGAACGGCUGCAGGCAAAAAUAAUGAGCUCAGUCCAGACAUUAUGUUGCUAUACUCCUACUUGUGUUCUUCCCUGAUGCUUACUUUUUGUACGAGCAAUCUCUCUCUCCCUCACUUUUGGGCGGCACAAUCUUUGUGAAUUCAGAAGCUUGUAGGAGCAUCAGUUGAAUCAUUUGGCGCUAAAGCUAAAGCUUGUGGAACUCUUUUUGUGCUGGCCUCACUAUCGAAUAAAGGUAUCAUUCGUCAUAGUUAUGUUUAUCUAUUUUCCAAUAUUUUUUAAAUAAAAACUAAUAAGUGUUGCAAGAUCAUGGCUGCUAAGAGGUUACUCUAAAAACUAGGCAUUUUGAAUAGUGAGAUGGUCUUUAAUUUUCAGUGUUAAGUAAAGAUUCAGAUAUUCAGUCAAGUUGCUUGAAAGCUGGGUCUAAUGCGUUUCUGAUCGAAAGCAGGGCAUUUUGAAUAGAACGGGACGCUUUUCAGUUUUCUUAUUGUCAAGUAAGCACUCAAUUAGAUGGGUAUAGUACAUUUCUGAUUAACUACGAGGAAACCGUAAGAGUUAAACAGAAAAUAUUACAUAAAUUUAAUUCCACACUUUAAUAUCCAACCAAAGUACAGCCUGGUCUUUUGCUGAAAGUGUUGUUGUUCAGUAAAAUCGUACUUUGGUACUAUAAUGUAAUUCCACGCUUUCAUAUUCAACCAAAGUACACCUUGAUCUUUUGCUGCAAGUGCUAUUGUUCAGUAAAAUCGUUCUUUAGUAUAAUGCGGUAGAAUCUCGAUACACUGAUGGUAGAUCCUUUAAUCGUGUACGUGUGAAAUAUAUAACUCAUUCCAUUUAUACAUAGAGUACCUUUGUGGUGCCAUGUUAAAUAAGGGUGGCCAUUUUUGUAUGACGGACAGUUGAGUGAAAAUUUGAUAUGGAUUCACAUCAGAGCUCAUGUAGCGUAAGUGAUUUCUUCUAAUUAUUUUGUGCAAAUAUCUUAUGAUCUUCUUUUUUCCGUGUUAUCGUUGGUCAAUUUACAACGAUCAAAAUCCCUUCCCUUGUCGUGCUUCCACUAUCUUCUGUAAGAACCUUGAAUUACUUUAUUUCAUGGUUUGGGUUGUGAAUGAAUUUGGAAGGAUCAUAAAGUAGUCUUUAGUUCAGUUUGUCCAUUUAUAGUGUUGAUGCAUCUAGCUACUUGUUCCUUUCUUUUGCUGUAAAAUGAAAUAGCAUUUUUAUUGUCAUUAAAUUCUUCAAGAUAUUUAAUGAUGUGAUCUGAAACUUACAGUUUUAUUCUAUUAUGGAGAGUUGGGAGUUUUAGGGAUAAAAUCAGCCACGCUGCUCCAAACAAGCGAACAGAGAAAUCAGUUAGCAUGUAACAUCUCAUCAUGCUCCUGUCAUCGAAAUAAGUAGCAUUGUAAACUAUAAUAGAGGAGUAUAUCACACAAAUGCUAUGUGGGAAGAGGUAUUUACAAUUGAAAAUAUCAAGGCAAUUUACUAACAGCGCAUCAUUACUUGCCUUAUUAUGACUGUACAAUUUCACACACAUAUCUUCUAUAUUGAAUCACAGCCGAUUGAAAAAAAAAGGUAUGUCAACUCAGCAACACCUCACACAACAUCACAAAUUUCCUUAGCAACAUCGAACCAAUUUCACGGCAAUGAAUCAACAGGGCGCGGCGUGCCGCCGCGCGGGCAUAGCUAGUUAGCUACUAUGAUGUACUAAAAUGCUGCUCAAUCGAUAGCUUUCUGUACACACACCUACCUAAUAUAUGUGUGUUGCUACUUAAGAUGAUGCUGGAUGUAGUACAUGCAUUUUUUGUUAAUUCCAACCUUAAGAUGUUGCUCUCAAAUUUAUAUAAAAAGUUAGUUCUAUAAAAUAGUUAUGAAGUGCACUUCACUUGAUCAUAACAAUUUCUACAGAGUAUUUUAAUGUUUUUCAAAUAAAAAGUAUGUGCUUAAAAUAAUAACAUUAAGUAUCUUUAGAUUUUGUUCAGUAAUUCACCGCUGAUAGACGUAUGUCUAUUUGUAGCAUCACUACUAGGAAAAGGGCUAUAGAUGAUAUGACCACUAAUGAUGCACCAGACAUGUGAUGCGCCACUACUAUAUAGUAGUGGCGCACCAUGUGUUGGUGCGCCUUUAGUGUGAAAGACACUAAGGGUGCACCAGACACAUGGUGCGCCACUAGUAACAAUUUUUUUUUUCCAAAAAUACUAAUGGCACACCAGGGCAGAGUGCGCCAUUAUUAGUUUUAACUAGUAAUGGCGCACCAGC